This 314-nucleotide ribosomal RNA is filed under the name uncultured Bacillota bacterium. Its description in RNAcentral is "bacterial SSU rRNA". It matches the Rfam family "Bacterial small subunit ribosomal RNA", at positions 29 to 351 of the family's 1533-position model. The record is from RNAcentral. Lineage: Bacteria; Bacillati; Bacillota.
AACUAACGCUAGCGGCGUGCCUAACACAUGCAAGUCGAGCGAUUUACUUCGGUAAAGAGCGGCGGACGGGUGAGUAACGCGUGGGUAACCUGCCCUGUACACACGGAUAACAUACCGAAAGGUAUGCUAAUACGGGAUAAUGUACUUUUGUCGCAUGGCAAAAGUAUCAAAGCUCCGGCGGUACAGGAUGGACCCGCGUCUGAUUAGCUAGUUGGAGAGGUAAUGGCUCACCAAGGCGACGAUCAGUAGCCGACCUGAGAGGGUGAUCGGCCACAUUGGAACUGAGACACGGUCCAAACUCCUACGGGAGGCAG